GCUUAUUUUAAAGUUUAAGUUCUCGUGGUUGAGUUGCUGCCGUUGAUUUAAUACUUUCCUGUCUGAGCACCAGUGGUACUGGUUGCAGUGUUGCUUAAAAUUAUUAAUUCUCAAUUUCUAUUUGGUUACUGCUGGAAUUGCUAGUUCCGUGGCUCAAGUGCUACUUUUGAGCGUUUGACGUGGGUAAUUGACUGUCCAAUUGGUGACAUUUGUUGAGUUUCACUUGCUCGAAUUGGUUGAAUUCACUGCUUUGUUGGGGUUAUUUUUGGUAUCACUUGAGUCCUAUUUUGCUGAUUUCUGUAUUGAGUCCAUUGACGUGAUAUGUUGGAAUAUUUUGGGCUGUGACGAAGUGCUACUUUGCUUGGAAUUUCUGUUGUGCCGUUAGUAGGAUAACUGUUGGGUUUGUUUAUUGACUCUCGCGGCACCUGUGUCCCUUGUUUGGUUAUUGCCAUUGGUUGAUUUUCAUUGACUUGUUGGGAACAAUUUGCUAUUGUUGGGAGAAAUUGACCGGUGGGACAUUUGUCGAGUACUUGGGUGGACGCAUUUUGCAUUUAAUUGUCCGGUUGCGGGAUAAUAUUGUUUACUCACUUGAUUGUUGCCUUACCCUUAGGUGCGACUUCUGCUUUACUGGUUUAAUACAUUUGCUGGGACACCAGUUUCUAUUGUUGGUCGGAUUGUUAAGUGAGACACAUUGGUGGAUAUUGACUUGCUUAUUGUCCUUAUUGGUGGCUGUAGUUGUUAUUGAAUUGUCUAGGACCCCUCGACCCACAUCAUUGUUGGAGUGUUUAUGUACCAUACGGGUCUUGCACCUCAAUUUCCACCUCAACCGCCGCUGUGACCCCGUCCCUAUUUUGAUGAUUUCAGGGAAGUACCGUUGCCCCUCUCCUUCCUUCUGCUUUUACAUUAUCACAUUGAGGGCAAUGUGUGAAUUAGGUGUGGGGGGGGAUCGUUGUGGUGCUAGUAUUUUUGUUUUUAGUUUCUAGGGGC
RNAcentral lists this long non-coding RNA (987 nucleotides) under Coffea arabica (coffee). RNAcentral's name for it is "long non-coding RNA (CARA_LNC006533)". Lineage: Eukaryota; Viridiplantae; Streptophyta; Magnoliopsida; Gentianales; Rubiaceae. The record is from RNAcentral.